Non-coding RNA from Physcomitrium patens, 2592 nucleotides. The record is from RefSeq and is a predicted model, not a curated record. Lineage: Eukaryota; Viridiplantae; Streptophyta; Bryopsida; Funariales; Funariaceae.
CAAGAAUUAGGGCUUUGUGAUGGAGGCCCUGGCUAUGGCGGAGGCAGAGGAGGCUGCGCCAUGAACCGUCAGCAGUAUUCGGAGUUCCAGAAGGCGGACUUGAAUCUCAGAGAGACAGUGAUGGACUCGGCAAGAUGCUGCUGGGUCUGCAAUUAACCUGUGGGCUUGCCAGCCACACGGUUGACUCCGGAAUUGAGGGAGCGCAUCUGGGGCCCUUAAAAACUGGCUGGCCCAUGAAUGUAUGGUCUUUAUUUCGGAGGAAUUGAGGAGGUUCGUUUCUGAUGAUCAUCUUUGUUGUUGAAAGCGAAGCAGUGAGGCUGGGACCAAAUUUAGAAGUACUUGGAUGGGUGAUGUUCGUCUGGCCGGUCAUCCAUCUGUUCGCGGUGGCCCAGGAACCCCAGUGUUCAGGAGAAUUUCAAACAAGACGAGUGUUCUGAGGCCAAGAGUAGCACCAGCAUGACUUCGGCAGCAAUAGUGGACUAGGGGGAUCAGAAGUCACGAUCUCCAGUUAAAGAAGCUUACCAUUUUUCUAUUGCUACACACAUGGUAGUUUUGUCUUUGCAAUGUGAGAUUCCAUCGGGUCGCAGGGUGUAUUGAAAAAAGGAGAAAGUCAGGAGAUGUGAUGGUGUCUCAAAAAACAAGCCCACGAUAUCUGGAAUCUAGCUUGCCUUGUAUCUUCCAAACACCCUAGGUUCGGCUGCUGCUGAAUUUCGCUGUCCACACGUGCAGUCUGCAUCGGAUUCUCUGGGGAUACUGUGGUGCCAUUUGAGAGCAAGGUUGGUCGAUCUGACCCAUCAAGCACACUGCGACGAAGUAGCAAAGCGAGAAGAAUAUGUCCCAUAGCGAAGACUCGAUGUUACCUACUGUGUUACGCAUCGACAGUCGCGGGACCGAUGGCUCUUUAGCUUUAUACUUUCUUAGUUUCUGGCAAGUUGACGGUGAGUCGACGAAGAAAAAUUAUUGCUCAGACCCCGUGUGUAGGUUUUGGCUUUUUCCAUAUUCACGGAAACUCCAAGCGGCAGAUUAUGACAUGAUAAAGCAUCUCGAAUUGGGAUGAAGGGGCUAUGUAGGUGCUCUGCUUCCACUGUUGCCUCUCAUGACUUGUCUUCUUGCCCACGGCCUUGCCGUCACGGCUUAAAUCACACCGUCUGGACUAUUCUUCUAUCAACAGUUUGCGAUGAGAGGCAUCCCCAGACAGACCCCAUUCGAACGCACCUUCAUGGCAUGCCCCACUAGCCUGGUAAUCAGUUACUGGUAUGUAUAAGUUCUGCUCCAACUUCAGUGUUGUCGCAUGCUGUGAGGGUUUUAUUUCUUCAUACUGUAAAGCGCUCAUGAUGAGACAUCGUCUCGUUCUGGGCUUUCAAUACUUCACUUUAUAGAACUUUUGUGCUCGUUCCGAGGGUGCAGCAUUUCAGUUCGAGGAUUUGGGUUUCUUGUAUUUGGGUCACUUGUCUGCGCUCACAACUCUUCUCGUCGACGGUAAAUGGCUAAAGUCAACAACCAACUACUUUCCACCUCCGGAAGUUUUUCUGUAAUCGACGAACAACUUUACCCGAAGUUAUCUGUCAGAUCCUGAGAGGAAUUUUCAAACUUGUGUAGCAAUUUUGGCACUGAAUCUUCUGUAUUAUGAUUGGGAGUGAGGAUUUGGAGGUUUUAGUCAUUCUACCCUUCAAAAUAAAUGUAUUGAAUCAGAGAAAGACCUGGAGUCCACAGCCACAGGAGACGUGGAGAUGAAGAUGGAAUUGAUGGGAUGUUGGGCAUGCCCAACACGAUCUGUCAACAUUCUAUGUUAUAUUGACGGGUCGUGAUGGGCACUCUCAAUGUCCACUUCAUGAUAAUAUAACUCUUUUUAUGUGACAUUCGACGACGACGAUGACGGUAGUCUUCUUCGGCACCUCUUUUUAACGUUUCAGUGUUACCCUCAGCCUUGGUUAUUGCUGGACUUGCAUGCAUCUUCUUGCACCUUCGUGGACCGCGGAAGCCGUGUGCCAGGCCGUGACCUGUCGUAAUAUUGCAGGGGGCUCUUAAAGUCUGAAGUUGCUUGUGGAUUCUAUUACUCUGGUAGAAGGUACACUGAUUGGUUUUUUGAUAUUCUGGCUUUCUACUUCCGUACGUAGCAGCAUCCACAACAGGUGGUUACAAUUGAUGAAAGUACUGUGCUCACAGGAUGCUUGAGACCGAUCAGAGUUUUGCACUGCAGCAGGAACCAGUUGACCUCGGUGUCAUUCGUUGCAUGUGGGGUGGUUUGAGUAACUUCAUGGACAGAAAAUCAUUUUAAUUGUUACGAGCGGUGAAGGGACCUAGCCUUGUGGUUCUGCAAUUUCAUAUCUGAAGAUGAACCUUGACAAUUGAUAAUCCAGAAUGUCUGAUCUACGACGCAUGGGUGCAAAGUAGGCUGUUCUGAAACACUGUAAUUGAUCAUCGGUCUGCUUCCAAACUUCUAAACUAAAAAGGAAAUUGGGUGGAUUGGAAGUGUAGUGUUCUGAUUCAACUAACGAUUGAUUUUCUUGAGAUUACAUCUACAUUUCCAAAUUGGAAGUAUUGUUGUUUAUCUUAAUGAGAAAUGUUACAUAUUUUACGUUUUCUAUUUAA